ACUCCUACGGGAGGCAGCAGUGGGGAAUAUUGGACAAUGGGCGCAAGCCUGAUCCAGCCAUGCCGCGUGAGUGAUGAAGGCCUUAGGGUUGUAAAGCUCUUUUAUCCGGGACGAUAAUGACGGUACCGGAGGAAUAAGCCCCGGCUAACUUCGUGCCAGCAGCCGCGGUAAUACGAAGGGGGCUAGCGUUGCUYGGAAUCACUGGGCGUAAAGGGCGCGUAGGCGGCGUUUUAAGUCGGGGGUGAAAGCCUGUGGCUCAACCACAGAAUGGCCUUCGAUMCUGGGACGCUUGAGUAUGGUAGAGGUUGGUGGAACYGCGAGUGUAGAGGUGAAAUUCGUAGAUAUUCGCAAGAACACCGGUGGCGAAGGCGSCCAACUGGACCAUUACUGACGCUGAGGCGMGAAAGCGUGGGGAGCAAACAGGAUUAGAUACCCUGGUAGUCCACGCCGUAAMCGAUGAAUSCCAGCUGUUGGGGUGCUUGCACCGCAGUAGCGCAGCUAACGCUUUGAGCAUUCCGCUUGGGGAGUACGGUYSCAAGAUUAAAACUCAAAGGAAUUGACGG
RNAcentral lists this ribosomal RNA (563 nucleotides) under uncultured Methylobacterium sp. RNAcentral describes it as "bacterial SSU rRNA". It matches the Rfam family "Bacterial small subunit ribosomal RNA", at positions 335 to 916 of the family's 1533-position model. Lineage: Bacteria; Pseudomonadati; Pseudomonadota; Alphaproteobacteria; Hyphomicrobiales; Methylobacteriaceae. The record is from RNAcentral.